Molecule: ribosomal RNA, 616 nt
Filed under: Salmonella enterica subsp. enterica serovar Tennessee
Lineage: Bacteria; Pseudomonadati; Pseudomonadota; Gammaproteobacteria; Enterobacterales; Enterobacteriaceae
Also listed under: 4 other names
Description: bacterial LSU rRNA
Rfam family: Bacterial large subunit ribosomal RNA
Source: RNAcentral
UGACUGCGUACCUUUUGUAUAAUGGGUCAGCGACUUAUAUUCUGUAGCAAGGUUAACCGAAUAGGGGAGCCGGAGGGAAACCGAGUCUUAAUUGGGCGUUAAGUUGCAGGGUAUAGACCCGAAACCCGGUGAUCUAGCCAUGGGCAGGUUGAAGGUUGGGUAACACUAACUGGAGGACCGAACCGACUAAUGUUGAAAAAUUAGCGGAUGACCUGUGGCUGGGGGUGAAAGGCCAAUCAAACCGGGAGAUAGCUGGUUCUCCCCGAAAGCUAUUUAGGUAGCGCCUCGUGAAUUCAUCUCCGGGGGUAGAGCACUGUUUCGGCUAGGGGGCCAUCCCGGCUUACCAACCCGAUGCAAACUGCGAAUACCGGAGAAUGUUAUCACGGGAGACACACGGCGGGUGCUAACGUCCGUCGUGAAGAGGGAAACAACCCAGACCGCCAGCUAAGGUCCCAAAGUCAUGGUUAAGUGGGAAACGAUGUGGGAAGGCCCAGACAGCCAGGAUGUUGGCUUAGAAGCAGCCAUCAUUUAAAGAAAGCGUAAUAGCUCACUGGUCGAGUCGGCCUGCGCGGAAGAUGUAACGGGGCUAAACCAUGCACCGAAGCUGCGGCAGCGA